This 342-nucleotide unclassified non-coding RNA is filed under the name soil metagenome. Its description in RNAcentral is "partial contains 5.8S ribosomal RNA, internal transcribed spacer 2, and large subunit ribosomal RNA". The stretch from base 1 to 120 matches the Rfam family "5.8S ribosomal RNA", at positions 35 to 154 of the family's 154-position model. The record is from RNAcentral.
GAUGAAGAACGUAGUGAAAUGCGAUACGUAAUGUGAAUUGCAGAAUUCAGUGAAUCAUCGAAUCUUUGAACGCACAUUGCGCCCGCCAGCACUCUGGCGGGCAUGCCUGUUCGAGCGUCAUUUCAACCCUCAGAACCCCUUUGGGGGAUCUGGCGUUGGGGAUCGGCAGUCCUGCCGGCCCCGAAAUAUAGUGGCGGUCUCUCUGUGACCUUCCCUGUGUAGUAGCGAUACCUCGCAGCGGGAUAGCAGUUUGGCCACGCCGUAAAACACCCAACUUCUCAAGGUUGACCUCGAAUCAGGUAGGAAUACCCGCUGAACUUAAGCAUAUCAAUAAGCGGAGGA